GUCGAGAAUUUUGGGCAAUGGACGAAAGUCUGACCCAGCAAUGCCGCGUGCGGGAUGAAGGUCUUCGGAUUGUAAACCGCUGUCGAGGGGGACGAAAAAUGACGGUACCCCUGGAGGAAGCCACGGCUAACUACGUGCCAGCAGCCGCGGUAAUACGUAGGUGGCGAGCGUUGUUCGGAUUUAUUGGGCGUAAAGGGUCCGCAGGGGGUUGAUUAAGUCUGACGUGAAAUCUCUGAGCUCAACUCAGAAAUUGCGUUGGAGACUGGUUGACUAGAGUGUUGGAGAGGUAAUUGGAAUUCCAGGUGUAGCGGUGGAAUGCGUAGAUAUCUGGAAGAACAUCGAAAGCGAAGGCAGAUUACUGGACAACAACUGACCCUCAGGGACGAAAGCAUGGGGAGCAAACAGGAUUAGAUACCCGGGUAGUCC
This 426-nucleotide ribosomal RNA is filed under the name uncultured bacterium. RNAcentral's name for it is "partial 16S ribosomal RNA". It matches the Rfam family "Bacterial small subunit ribosomal RNA", at positions 354 to 796 of the family's 1533-position model. The record is from RNAcentral.